GAUGAACGCUGGCGGCGUGCCUAAUACAUGCAAGUCGAGCGAACAGACGAGGAGCUUGCUCCUCUGACGUUAGCGGCGGACGGGUGAGUAACACGUGGAUAACCUACCUAUAAGACUGGGAUAACUUCGGGAAACCGGAGCUAAUACCGGAUAAUAUAUUGAACCGCAUGGUUCAAUAGUGAAAGACGGUUUUGCUGUCACUUAUAGAUGGAUCCGCGCCGCAUUAGCUAGUUGGUAAGGUAACGGCUUACCAAGGCAACGAUGCGUAGCCGACCUGAGAGGGUGAUCGGCCACACUGGAACUGAGACACGGUCCAGACUCCUACGGGAGGCAGCAGUAGGGAAUCUUCCGCAAUGGGCGAAAGCCUGACGGAGCAACGCCGCGUGAGUGAUGAAGGUCUUCGGAUCGUAAAACUCUGUUAUUAGGGAAGAACAAAUGUGUAAGUAACUAUGCACGUCUUGACGGUACCUAAUCAGAAAGCCACGGCAAACUACGU
RNAcentral lists this ribosomal RNA (496 nucleotides) under uncultured bacterium. RNAcentral's name for it is "partial 16S ribosomal RNA". It matches the Rfam family "Bacterial small subunit ribosomal RNA", at positions 28 to 506 of the family's 1533-position model. The record is from RNAcentral.